RNAcentral lists this ribosomal RNA (242 nucleotides) under uncultured bacterium. RNAcentral's name for it is "partial 16S ribosomal RNA". It matches the Rfam family "Bacterial small subunit ribosomal RNA", at positions 81 to 334 of the family's 1533-position model. The record is from RNAcentral.
CAGUUGAUGGCGAGCGGCGGACGGGUGAGUAAUGCAUAGGAAUCUGCCUUUUAGUGGGGGAUAACGUAGGGAAACUUACGCUAAUACCGCAUAAUACGGACUGUUAAAGGUGCCGCAAGGUACCGCUAGAAGAUGAGCCUAUGUUGGAUUAGCUAGUUGGUGGGGUAAAGGCCUACCAAGGCGACGAUCCAUAGCUGUUCUGAGAGGAAGACCAGCCACACUGGGACUGAGACACGGCCCAG